This 490-nucleotide ribosomal RNA is filed under the name uncultured Pseudomonadota bacterium. RNAcentral's name for it is "bacterial SSU rRNA". It matches the Rfam family "Bacterial small subunit ribosomal RNA", at positions 355 to 835 of the family's 1533-position model. Lineage: Bacteria; Pseudomonadati; Pseudomonadota. The record is from RNAcentral.
UGAGGAAUUUUGCGCAAUGGCCGCAAGGCUGACGCAGCAACGCCGCGUGGGUGAAGAAGGCCUUCGGGUCGUAAAGCCCUGUCAGGUGGGAAGAAUGUCCGGGGGGUGAAUAAUCUUCCGGAGUGACGGUACCACCAGAGGAAGCACCGGCUAACUCCGUGCCAGCAGCCGCGGUAAUACGGAGGGUGCAAGCGUUAUUCGGAAUUACUGGGCGUAAAGCGCGUGCAGGCGGGUAUGCAAGUCUGAUGUGAAAGCCCCGGGCUCAACCUGGGAAGUGCAUUGGAAACUGCAUAUCUUGAGUGCUGGAGAGGAAGGGGGAAUUCCCGGUGUAGAGGUGAAAUUCGUAGAGAUCGGGAGGAAUACCAGUGGCGAAGGCGCCCUUCUGGACGGCAACUGACGCUGAGACGCGAAAGCGUGGGGAGCAAACAGGAUUAGGAUACCCUGGUAGUCCACGCUGUAAACGAUGAGCACUAGGUGUAGCGGGUACUCA